Molecule: ribosomal RNA, 929 nt
Filed under: uncultured archaeon
Lineage: Archaea
Description: bacterial SSU rRNA
Rfam family: Archaeal small subunit ribosomal RNA
Source: RNAcentral
UUCCGGUUGAUCCUGCCGGACCCCACUGCUAUCGAGGUGGGACUAAGCCAUGCUAGUUGAGCGCACAGAACUAUGUCUGUGAGCGGCACACUGCUCAGUAACACGUAGCUAACCUACCCUUAGGACGUGGACAACCCCGAGAAAUUGGGGCUAAUCCGCGAUAGAUGUAUUGUCCUGGAAUGGUAUUACGUCUAAAGGUAUCCCAUACAUGUUUGGUAUAUGCCUAAGGAUGGGGCUGCGGCCGAUCAGGCUGUUGGUGAGGUAAUGGCUCACCAAACCUUUGACCGGUACGGGCCAUGAGAGUGGUAGCCCGGAGAUGGACACUGAGACAAGGGUCCAGGCCCUACGGGGCGCAGCAGGCGCGAAACCUCCUCAAUGCACUUACGUGCGAAGGGGCUACCUCGAGUGCCAUCUGAUGAAGGUGGCUUUUCCUAGGUCUAAAAAGCCUUGGGAAUAAGAGGGGGGCAAGACUGGUGUCAGCCGCCGCGGUAACACCAGCCCCUCGAGUGGUGGGGAUGAUUAUUGGGCCUAAAGCGUCCGUAGCCUGCCGUGUAAGUUUCCCGUUAAAUCCAGCGUCUUAAGCGUUGGACCGCGGGAAAUACUGUACGGCUAGAGAGUGGGAGAGGUCAGCGGUAUUCUUGGGGUAGGGGCGAAAUCCUUUGAUCCCCGGAGGACCACCAGUGGCGAAGGCUGCUGUCUAGAACACGUCUGACGGUCAGGGACGAAAGCUGGGGUAGCGAACCGGAUUAGAUACCCGGGUAGUCCCAGCCGUAAACGAUGCAUGCUAGGUGUUGGGUUGGCCACGAGCCACCCCAGUGCCGCAGGGAAGCCGUUAAGCAUGCCGCCUGGGAAGUACGAUCGCAAGGUUGAAACUUAAAGGAAUUGGCGGGGGAGCACCACCAGCCGUGAAGCCUGCGGUUUAAUUGGAU